This 131-nucleotide non-coding RNA is filed under the name Euplotes focardii. The record is from RNAcentral. Lineage: Eukaryota; Ciliophora; Spirotrichea; Euplotida; Euplotidae.
UUUUUUUUAUUGUUAUUCUAUUUCUUCCUCUUCUGCCUAUUUAGUUUUUUGAUAGGCCAGGUAAGCUUUGUAAAUAAUAAAAAGAGCGAUAGGGAGAAUUAAAACUAAGAGGAAAGAAAGAGUAACACAAA